GGGAGGAAAGGAAAGAGAAGCGAAAGGAGAGAGCGCGAGGAAGGAAGGAAAGAGAGAGAGAGAGAGGCGCAGAAGCGAAGAAAAGGAGCCCGGUCGUUCGCCCUUUGCUCGCCUCGCCUGCACUUUUUUAGUGCGUCUCAGAAAGUCUGCCAGGCAUUGGCGGUGCCGGGUGGGUUAGCGGGGUGGGGAGACCAGGCGAGGCCGGGGGGGGGCUGCCGCUGUUGCUGCUGCCGCCGCCGCCUCCUCCUCUUCCUCUUCUUCGUCUUCUUCUUCCUCCUCCUCCAGCCGCUGCUGCGUAACGAUCCUCCGUCUCUUUCUCCCUUCACUUUUCCUAUUGAUCUGAGUGGACUCCAGGUCAGGUCCUAACAGAUUGCUGGAGAUUAUUGGAACUCCCGCCUUUGAUUGACAGCCGGAGUCUCUCUCUCGAAGCUCCUCCUCUUUCUUUUAAGUCAGUCUCUCUCUCGCUCGCUCGCUCUCGGUUUCUCACUCGGGCUCUUUUCUCACUCCCUCCCCCCGCCACUCACGCCUUCCAUUUACUGACGUCGCCGUCUUUUAUUUGAGUGCUUUUCAAAUCUGGUGGAAGCCAUUGGCAAUCAGUCCGGGGUUUAGGGUGGCGGUGAUUUGGCAGAGCUAGGACGGGAAAAGUCGGUUAGAGACCAAGGGGAACCGGAAGGGAGAAAUGGUCGAAAACCUCACUCCUCGGUGCAAUUUACUCGCGAGUAAUCUUUGCCUCCUCUUCCAAUAUCGAGAAGGGACAGUCUCCCCAAGGAAGAAAAAGCACAAGGUUUCUUGGCAUCAGACUGGGAUUGGGACCUCAGCUCGUUCAAGCUGGAGUUCCCUAAAGAAAUCUUAGAGGGUUAAACACACACACACGUGUGAAGCCUGGAGGUACUGUCGAUACCAUAGUCCAGGCGCACACGCGCCCUUCCUUCAAAUCUCCAGAUAUUCUAUGUUUCCCCUCUUACAGCCGUCAUCUCACUGUCCUGCGUUGCAGGACUGUCGUACGGAUCGGCGGGGGCGCUUUGAACCCUGGAAAGGGCCCUGACCGGAGUUCAGCCGUCCUUAGCUUGACUACAGGCGCCUUUCAGUGGCGUGUAAAACCAAUAUACAACAGACGCGUGAGGAAAAGAGUUGGCCAGCUUGCAUUGCAAGCGGGGUGCGGAGAGGUACUGGUGGGGCGCUGUACCCGAGAGAUGCGCGUAAUAGCCUCCCUGCUACGGCUUCCCUCGUCCUUCCUUUAGUGAAAAGCAGUCAGCUGGAGGAGGAAGACCGGCGGGCGGUGGUAUGAUGAUUAACCCCUUCCUUUCCACUCAACCUUUCCUCUCAAAAAAGCCUCCUUAAUUGCUUAAAAAUAACAAAAACUGCAACGCGAGAAGGUGUGUGUGUGAAUAUUUGCAAGCCUGCACGUGUACUUUAUAUAUGUCAAAAGUGUGUGUGUGUGUCAUCAUGGGUGAGGUAUAUUAAAAUUAAAUCGUGCACGAA
Podarcis muralis (Common wall lizard) is the source of this 1482-nucleotide long non-coding RNA. RefSeq lists it as uncharacterized. The record is from RefSeq and is a predicted model, not a curated record. Lineage: Eukaryota; Metazoa; Chordata; Lepidosauria; Squamata; Lacertidae.